RNAcentral lists this ribosomal RNA (467 nucleotides) under uncultured bacterium. RNAcentral's name for it is "partial 16S ribosomal RNA". It matches the Rfam family "Bacterial small subunit ribosomal RNA", at positions 29 to 507 of the family's 1533-position model. The record is from RNAcentral.
ACGAACGCUGGCGGCGUGCUUCACACAUGCAAGUCGCACGGAAAGGCCCUGCUUUUGUGGGGUGCUCGAGUGGCGAACGGGUGAGUAACACGUGAGUAACCUGCCCUUGACUUUGGGAUAACUUCAGGAAACUGGGGCUAAUACCGGAUAGGAGCUCCUGCUGCAUGGUGGGGGUUGGAAAGUUUCGGCGGUUGGGGAUAGACUCGCGGCUUAUCAGCUUGUUGGUGGGGUAGUGGCUUACCAAGGCUUUGACGGGUAGCCGGCCUGAGAGGGUGACCGGCCACAUUGGGACUGAGAUACGGCCCAGACUCCUACGGGAGGCAGCAGUGGGGAAUAUUGCACAAUGGGCGGAAGCCUGAUGCAGCAACGCCGCGUGCGGGAUGACGGCCUUCGGGUUGUAAACCGCUUUCGCCUGUGACGAAGCGUGAGUGACGGUAAUGGGUAAAGAGGCACCGGCUAACUACGUG